Molecule: ribosomal RNA, 207 nt
Filed under: uncultured bacterium
Lineage: Bacteria
Description: partial 16S ribosomal RNA
Rfam family: Bacterial small subunit ribosomal RNA
Source: RNAcentral
UCUGUAGGUGGCCCGCUAAGUCACACGUGAAAUCCCUCAGCUUAACUGGGGAACUGCGUGUGAGACUGGCAGGCUUGAGUGCAGGAGAGGAACGCGGAAUUCCAGGUCUAGCGGUGAAAUGCGUAGAUAUCUGGAGGAACACCGGUGGCGAAGGCGGCGUUCUGGACUGUAUCUGACACUGAUAGACGAAAGCCAGGGGAGCAAACG